Molecule: long non-coding RNA, 412 nt
Organism: Helicoverpa zea (corn earworm)
Lineage: Eukaryota; Metazoa; Arthropoda; Insecta; Lepidoptera; Noctuidae
Exons: 2
Source: RefSeq, a predicted model, not a curated record
UUACCAUGGAUAACGUUCCGUUCCCACAAAACAAAACGUCAACAAGAACUGUAGUGAAGUUCGCAGCAGUACUAUCGAUUGGGCCGCGCCGUAAUGCGUACAUAACAACAGGAGGAAUCGAUUAAAAACUUACCGAUUACGAAAAAGUAACGAUGGCAUACUACUUUUCGGGGACUCAAUUUCCGUUAAUUUUCUUUUUUGUAUCAUGUAACUGGAUGCCGGUGGAAAAUUCUUCCCCAGUGUGGACCAUCGGAAUAAUCCCGCACAAGCGCAGUGGCCUCCUGUGACGUCACGAUGUUUACACCCUCUCUCGCACAUUCGAUUGUUUUCUUUGUGUAGCGAUUAUAGACCUUAUGGAUUUUGUACAAAGAAUAUAAAUAUUAAAUUAAUAAAAAAUACACCUAUACCUAAA